RNAcentral lists this transfer RNA (83 nucleotides) under Clostridium sp. RNAcentral's name for it is "tRNA-Leu". It matches the Rfam family "tRNA". Rfam says of the family: Transfer RNA (tRNA) molecules are approximately 80 nucleotides in length. Their secondary structure includes four short double-helical elements and three loops (D, anti-codon, and T loops). Lineage: Bacteria; Bacillati; Bacillota; Clostridia; Eubacteriales; Clostridiaceae. The record is from RNAcentral. RNAcentral also lists the same sequence under 2 other names.
GCCACCAUGGCGGAACUGGCAGACGCACACGACUCAAAAUCGUGCGGGAAACCAUGUGGGUUCGAUUCCCACUGGUGGCACCA